Molecule: transfer RNA, 72 nt
Filed under: Heterocephalus glaber (naked mole-rat)
Lineage: Eukaryota; Metazoa; Chordata; Mammalia; Rodentia; Bathyergidae
Rfam family: tRNA
About the family: Transfer RNA (tRNA) molecules are approximately 80 nucleotides in length.
Source: Rfam by way of RNAcentral
AGGGAUAUGGCUCAGUGCUAGAGUACUCAUCUGGUACAUGUGAGGCCUUGAGUUUGAACCCCACCAUCACGA